ACGGGGUGCAGCAGGCGCGAAAACUUCACACUGUGCGGAAGCGCGAUGAGGGAAUCCCAAGUGUUUGCUCGUAAGAGUAAACUGUUUCUUUGUUUAAAACGCAGAGAGAGUAAGGGCUGGGUAAGACGGGUGCCAGCCGCCGCGGUAAUACCUGCAGCUCAAGUGGUGAUCAUUAUUAUUGGGCCUAAAACGUCCGUAGCCGGUUUAGUAAAUGCCUGGGUAAAUCGUGUAGCUUAACUAUACGACUUCCGGGUAGACUGCUAAACUUGAGACCGGGAGAGGCUAGAGGUACUCCUGGGGUAGAGGUGAAAUUCUGUAAUCCUAGGGGGACCACCAGUGGCGAAGGCGUCUAGCUAGAACGGGUCUGACGGUGAGGGACGAAGCCCUGGGGCACAAACCGGAUUAGAUACCCGGGUAGUCCAGGGUGUAAACGCUGCUUGCUUGAUGUUAGUUGGGCUCCGAGCCCAACUAGUGUCGGAGAGAAGUUGUUAAGCAAGCUGCCUGGGAAGUACGGUCGCAAGGCUGAAACUUAAAGGAAUUGGCGGGGGAGCACAGCAACGGGUGGAGCGUGCGGUUUAAUUGGAUUCAACGCCGGAAAACUCACCGGAGGCGACGGUUACAUGAAGGCCAGGCUGAUGACCUUGCCUGAUUUUCCGAGAGGUGGUGCAUGGCCGCCGUCAGUUCGUACCGUAAGGCGUUCUGUUAAGUCAGACAACGAACGAGACCCUCAUCUUUAAUUGCUACUAGUAAGUUCGCUUACUGGGCACAUUAA
Molecule: ribosomal RNA, 772 nt
Filed under: uncultured archaeon
Lineage: Archaea
Description: bacterial SSU rRNA
Rfam family: Archaeal small subunit ribosomal RNA
Source: RNAcentral